AGUCGAACGGGUGCAGCAUCGGACUUCGGUCUGGUGGCGAGUGGCGAACGGGUGAGUAAUGUAUCGGAACGCCUAGUAGCGGGGAUAACUACGCGAAAGGUAGCUAAUACCGCAUACGCGCCCUUCGGGGAAAGCGGGACCCCGGGCCUCGCACUAUUAGAGCGGCCGGAUAAUGGAUUAGCUAGUUGGUGGGGUAACGGCUCACCAAGGGGCGACGAUCCGUAGCUGGCCUUGAGAGGGACGACCAGCCAAGCACCGGGACUGGAGAUGACGGCGGCCCAGACCCUACGGAGGCAGCAGGGGAAUUUGACAAUGGGGAAACCCUGAUCCAGCCAUCCCGCGUGUGCGAUGAAGGCCUUCGGGUUGUAAAGCACUUUGGCAGGAAAGAAACGGCACGGGAUAAUACCUCGUGCACCGAUUAUACCUGCAGGAAUAAGCACCGGCUAAUCCACAAAGCAAAGCAGCCGCGGUAAUACGUAGGGUGCAAGCGUUAAUCGGAAUUACUGGGCGUAAAGCGUGCGCAGGCGGUUCGGAAAGAAAGAUGUGAAAUCCCAGAGCUUAACUUUGGAACUGCAUUUUUGGACCACUGAGCAGAGUGGUGUUUGUGGAGUAAAAGAAUUCAGUAUAAAUGAAACGCAGAUAUGUGGAGGUAUCUACUCCGGAUGGCGAAGGCAGCUCUGGGAUAACACUGACGCUCAAGCGCACGAAAGCGUGGGGAGCAAACAGGAUUAGAUACUCCUGGUAGUCCACGCUCUAAACGAUGUCAACUAGCUGUUGGGGCCUUCGGGCCUUUGGUAGCGCAGCUAACGCGUGAAGUUGACCGCCUGGGGAGUACGGUCGCAAAGAUUAAAACCUCAAAGGAAUUGACGGGGACCCGCACAAGCGGUGGAUGAUGUGGAUUAAUCGAUGCAACGCGAAAAACUCCACUUACCCUUGACAUGUCUGGAAUCCCGAAGAGAUUUGGGAGUGCUCGCAAGAGAACCGGAACACAGGUGCUGCAUGCACUGUCGUCAGCCUCGUGUCGUGAGAUGUUGGGUUAAGUCCCGCAACGAGCGCAACCCUGUCAUUAGUUGCUACGAAAGGGCACUUAAUGAGACUGCCGGUGACAAACCGAGGAAGGUGGGGAUGACGUCAGUCCUCAUGGCCCUUUACAGUAGGGCUUCACACGUCAUACAAUGGUCGGGACAGAGGGUCGCCAACCCGCGAGGGGGAGCCAAUCCCAGAAACCCGAUCGUAGUCCGAUCGCAGUCUGCAACUCGACUGCGGAAGUCGGAAUCGCUAGUAAUCGCGAUCAGCAUGUCGCGUGAAUACGUUCCUGGUCUUGUACACACCGCCUGUCACACCAUGUGGGGAGUGCGGGUUUUUACCAGAAGUAGUUAGCCUAACCGUAAGGAGGGGGCGAUUACCACGGUAGGAUUCAUGACUGGGUGAAGUCGUAAUAAGGCAA
RNAcentral lists this ribosomal RNA (1447 nucleotides) under uncultured Bordetella sp. Its description in RNAcentral is "partial 16S-23S ribosomal RNA intergenic spacer". It matches the Rfam family "Bacterial small subunit ribosomal RNA". The record is from RNAcentral. Lineage: Bacteria; Pseudomonadati; Pseudomonadota; Betaproteobacteria; Burkholderiales; Alcaligenaceae.